Molecule: non-coding RNA, 128 nt
Submitted as: unclassified sequences
Source: Rfam
UAUAAGUGCAGGUAGUAAUACACUGUGUACCAGCGAGCAGUGAAUUUACGUUUAAGCGUACUUUAAGUACGUCAUCUCGCUGGGAGAAAAACACCUUUAUCGUAUGAUGAGGUGUUUUAUCUUUAUAA